AAAGUAGUAUUUUAAACAAAAAAAUUCAGUUUGCAUUUGAUUAUUAUAAUAUUGAUUAUCUACUUUU
This 67-nucleotide transfer RNA is filed under the name Geukensia demissa (ribbed mussel). Its description in RNAcentral is "tRNA-Ala". Lineage: Eukaryota; Metazoa; Mollusca; Bivalvia; Mytilida; Mytilidae. The record is from RNAcentral.